This 326-nucleotide ribosomal RNA is filed under the name uncultured fungus. Its description in RNAcentral is "LSU rRNA". It matches the Rfam family "Eukaryotic large subunit ribosomal RNA", at positions 320 to 667 of the family's 3401-position model. Lineage: Eukaryota; Fungi. The record is from RNAcentral.
AUAUUGGCCAGAGACCGAUAGCGCACAAGUAGAGUGAUCGAAAGAUGAAAAGCNCUUUGAAAAGAGGGUUAAACAGUACGUGAAAUUGUUGAAAGGGAAGCGCUUGUGACCAGACUUGGGCCCGGUUAAUCAUCCAGCGUUCUCGCUGGUGCACUUGGCCGGCCCAGGCCAGCAUCAGUUCGGCGUGGGGGAUAAAGGCGGCGGGAAUGUGGCUCCUCCGGGAGUGUUAUAGCCCACCGUGUAGUGCCCUGUGCUGGACUGAGGUUCGCGCAUUCGCAAGGAUGCUGGCGUAAUGGUCAUUAGCGACCCGUCUUGAAACACGGACC